RNAcentral lists this ribosomal RNA (426 nucleotides) under uncultured Sphingobacterium sp. RNAcentral describes it as "bacterial SSU rRNA". It matches the Rfam family "Bacterial small subunit ribosomal RNA", at positions 356 to 774 of the family's 1533-position model. The record is from RNAcentral. Lineage: Bacteria; Pseudomonadati; Bacteroidota; Sphingobacteriia; Sphingobacteriales; Sphingobacteriaceae.
GGGGAAUUUUGGACAAUGGGGGCAACCCUGAUCCAGCCAUGCCGCGUGAGUGAAGAAGGCCUUCGGGUUGUAAAGCUCUUUCGGACGGAAAGAAAUCGCCGCCUCUAACAUAGGCGGUGGAUGACGGUACCGUAAGAAGAAGCACCGGCUAACUCCGUGCCAGCAGCCGCGGUAAUACGGAGGAUCCGAGCGUUAUCCGGAUUUAUUGGGUUUAAAGGGUGCGUAGGCGGCACUUUAAGUCAGGGGUGAAAGACGGCAGCUCAACUGUCGCAGUGCCCUUGAUACUGAAGUGCUUGAAUGCGGUUGAAGACGGCGGAAUGAGACAAGUAGCGGUGAAAUGCAUAGAUAUGUCUCAGAACACCGAUUGCGAAGGCAGCUGUCUAAGCCGUUAUUGACGCUGAUGCACGAAAGCGUGGGGAUCGAACA